UACGUAGGGUGCAAGCGUUAAUCGGAAUUACUGGGCGUGAAGCGUGCGCAGGCGGUUUGGUAAGACAGAUGUGAAAUCCCCGGGCUUAACCUGGGAAUUGCAUUUGUGACUGCCCGGCUAGAGUGUGUCAGAGGGGGGUAGAAUUCCACGUGUAGCAGUGAAAUGCGUAGAUAUGUGGAGGAAUACCGAUGGCGAAGGCAGCCCCCUGGGAUAACACUGACGCUCAUGCACGAAAGCGUGGGGAGCAAACGGG
RNAcentral lists this ribosomal RNA (253 nucleotides) under uncultured bacterium. RNAcentral describes it as "partial 16S ribosomal RNA". It matches the Rfam family "Bacterial small subunit ribosomal RNA", at positions 524 to 776 of the family's 1533-position model. The record is from RNAcentral.